UCUUCUAUAGCUCAACGGAUAGGGCGCCGAGAAUCAGCAAUUCAUCGGAAAAGUUGUUAUACGGUAAUAUUCUCGGAGAUGUUGGUUCGAUCCCAACCCGAAGAG
Molecule: non-coding RNA, 105 nt
Organism: Stereum hirsutum FP-91666 SS1
Lineage: Eukaryota; Fungi; Basidiomycota; Agaricomycetes; Russulales; Stereaceae
Source: the annotation of a RefSeq genome assembly